UGGGGAAUUUUGGACAAUGGGCGAAAGCCUGAUCCAGCCAUGCCGCGUGAGUGAAGAAGGCCUUCGGGUUGUAAAGCUCUUUUAGUCGGAAAGAAAGAGUUGCAAUGAAUAAUUGUGAUUUAUGACGGUACCGACAGAAAAAGCACCGGCUAACUACGUGCCAGCAGCCGCGGUAAUACGUAGGGUGCGAGCGUUAAUCGGAAUUACUGGGCGUAAAGGGUGCGCAGGCGGUCUUGCAAGUCAGAUGUGAAAGCCCCGGGCUUAACCUGGGCAUUGAGUUUGAAACUACAAGGCUAGAGUGCAGCAGAGGGGAGUGGAAUUCCAUGUGUAGCAGUGAAAUGCGUAGAGAUGUGGAAGAACACCGAUGGCGAAGGCAGCUCCCUGGGUUGACACUGACGCUCAUGCACGAAAGCGUGGGGAGCAAACA
Molecule: ribosomal RNA, 427 nt
Filed under: uncultured bacterium
Lineage: Bacteria
Description: bacterial SSU rRNA
Rfam family: Bacterial small subunit ribosomal RNA
Source: RNAcentral